Molecule: ribosomal RNA, 613 nt
Filed under: Sporopachydermia sp. YM24342
Lineage: Eukaryota; Fungi; Ascomycota; Sporopachydermiomycetes; Sporopachydermiales; Sporopachydermiaceae
Description: eukaryotic LSU rRNA
Rfam family: Eukaryotic large subunit ribosomal RNA
Source: RNAcentral
GCAUAUCAAUAAGCGGAGGAAAAGAAACCAACAGGGAUUGCCUUAGUAGCGGCGAGUGAAGCGGCAAAAGCUCAAAUUUGAGAUCUGGGAUCUUUGGUCUCCGAGUUGUAAUUUGAAGAAAGUAUCUUUGGAUUUGGUCUUUGCCUAAGUUCCUUGGAACAGGACUUCAUAGAGGGUGAGAAUCCCGUGAGGUGAGGUGUCCAUUUCUAUGUAAAGUGCUUUCGACGAGUCGAGUUGUUUGGGAAUGCAGCUCUAAGUGGGUGGUAAAUUCCAUCUAAAGCUAAAUAUUGGCGAGAGACCGAUAGCGAACAAGUACAGUGAUGGAAAGAUGAAAAGAACUUUGAAAAGAGAGUGAAAAAGUACGUGAAAUUGUUAAAAGGGAAGGGCUUCAGAUUAGACUUGAUGUUUAACGAUACACUUUCCUUUUUGGUUGGUGCACGCGUUGUUCAUUGGGCCAACAUCGAUUUGAAUGGUAGGAUAAUGCAUUUGGAAUGUGGCUUCAUUCGUGAAGUGUUAUAGCCUUUUGUGAUACUGCCCAUUCGGAUCGAGGACUGCGUCUUUGACUAGGAUGUUGGCGUAAUGAUCUGAAGCCACCCGUCUUGAAACACGGACC